This 349-nucleotide unclassified non-coding RNA is filed under the name Hevea brasiliensis (rubber tree). The record is from RNAcentral. Lineage: Eukaryota; Viridiplantae; Streptophyta; Magnoliopsida; Malpighiales; Euphorbiaceae.
UUAUGUUACAUUUUUAAGUUGAGGAAUUGUAAUGUUACAACUAGAUAAGUUUAGGGAUAGUUGUCAAAAUUUAUCUGAGGAAAAAGUGACCUGGGAAGUUUUCUGCAAUUGUUUUUAGAAAAAAAUUUUGAGUCUUCUGCCUUUUAAAAAUUGUUAUUAGAGCCUAUUUCAUAUUCAAGAAUUAGGGAACUUUCUAUUUGAUUACAUGAAAAAUUAUUGGUUGUUUAUGCUGCUUUUAAGAGUACUAACAUUGUAUUUUGUUGCUAUGACAAUAAUUCUCAAAUCUUGUGGCACUUGCAGGGCUUUGGCUAAUGUGGCUGUUAAUGGAGGAGAUCAUCGCUGAUUGUUU